CCUACGGGAGGCAGCAGUGAGGAAUAUUGGUCAAUGGACGAGAGUCUGAACCAGCCAAGUAGCGUGAAGGAUGACUGCCCUAUGGGUUGUAAACUUCUUUUAUAUGGGAAUAAAAUGUUCCACGUGUGGGAUUUUGUAUGUACCAUAUGAAUAAGGAUCGGCUAACUCCGUGCCAGCAGCCGCGGUAAUACGGAGGAUCCGAGCGUUAUCCGGAUUUAUUGGGUUUAAAGGGAGCGUAGGUGGAUUGUUAAGUCAGUUGUGAAAGUUUGGGGCUCAACCGUAAAAUUGCAGUUGAAACUGGCAGUCUUGAGUACAGUAGAGGUGGGCGGAAUUCGUGGUGUAGCGGUGAAAUGCUUAGAUAUCACGAAGAACUCCGAUGGCGAAGGCAGUUCACUGGACUGCAACUGACACUGAGGCUCGAAAGUGUGGGUAUCAAACAGGAUUAGAUACCCCAGUAGUC
RNAcentral lists this ribosomal RNA (460 nucleotides) under uncultured bacterium. RNAcentral's name for it is "partial 16S ribosomal RNA". It matches the Rfam family "Bacterial small subunit ribosomal RNA", at positions 338 to 795 of the family's 1533-position model. The record is from RNAcentral.